UACGGGGGGGGGAAGCGUUGUUCGGAAUUACUGGGCGUAAAGGGCUCGUAGGCGGCCAACUAAGUCGGACGUGAAAUCCCUCAGCUUAACUGGGGAACUGCGUCUGAUACUGGAUGGCUUGGAUUCGGGAGAGGAAUGCGGAAUUCCAGGUGUAGCGGUGAAAUGCGUAGAUAUCUGGAGGAACACCGGUGGCGAAGGCGGCAUUCUGGACCGAUAUUGACGCUGAGGAGCGAAAGCCAGGGGAGCAAACGGG
Molecule: ribosomal RNA, 253 nt
Filed under: uncultured bacterium
Lineage: Bacteria
Description: partial 16S ribosomal RNA
Rfam family: Bacterial small subunit ribosomal RNA
Source: RNAcentral